Molecule: transfer RNA, 56 nt
Filed under: Oedipina nica (Nicaraguan worm lizard)
Lineage: Eukaryota; Metazoa; Chordata; Amphibia; Caudata; Plethodontidae
Description: tRNA-Gln
Source: RNAcentral
AUGCACUUGGAGUUUUGAUCUCUAGAGGAUAGGUUCGAGCCCUGUUUUUUUAGGAA